GCAAUAGUAAUCAUGCUCAGUACAAGAGGAGCCGCAGGUUCAGACAUUUGGUGCGUGUGCUUGGCUGAGGAGCCAGUGGUCUGUGGGAUUAUGACUGAACGCCUCUAAGUCAGAAUCCUGCCUAAACGC
RNAcentral lists this non-coding RNA (129 nucleotides) under Lepisosteus oculatus (spotted gar). Its description in RNAcentral is "Eukaryotic large subunit ribosomal RNA". It matches the Rfam family "Eukaryotic large subunit ribosomal RNA", at positions 3013 to 3155 of the family's 3401-position model. The record is from Rfam by way of RNAcentral. Lineage: Eukaryota; Metazoa; Chordata; Actinopteri; Semionotiformes; Lepisosteidae.